CACACGACUCUCGGCAAUGGAUAUCUCGGCUCUCGCAUCGAUGAAGAACGUAGCGAAAUGCGAUACCUGGUGUGAAUUGCAGUAUCCCGCGAACCAUCGAGUCUUUGAACGCAAGUUGCGCCCGAGGCCACCCGGCCGAGGGCACGCCUGCCUGGGCGUCACGC
RNAcentral lists this ribosomal RNA (164 nucleotides) under Thinopyrum intermedium. Its description in RNAcentral is "5.8S ribosomal RNA". It matches the Rfam family "5.8S ribosomal RNA". From Rfam's summary of the family: 5.8S ribosomal RNA (5.8S rRNA) is a component of the large subunit of the eukaryotic ribosome. It is transcribed by RNA polymerase I as part of the 45S precursor that also contains 18S and 28S rRNA. Functionally, it is thought that 5.8S rRNA may be involved in ribosome translocation. The record is from RNAcentral. Lineage: Eukaryota; Viridiplantae; Streptophyta; Magnoliopsida; Poales; Poaceae.